CCGGAGGGAGCGGUGUCCGGGCCGUUUGUCCCCCCAGAGACGAAUUACACAUUUGGCUGAACAAAACGGAGCAACGACGAGCUGAAUUCAUUCCGAACUGUCCGGAGAAGAACUCAGAAAGCUGUCUUCUGCCUCUUUUCAGAAGAGGAAAAGCCGGCCGGUAAAUUACAUCAUUUUUUUUCUGAGUUACGGAACACCGAUGAGGGGAGACCGUACUGACGGGUUGGCCCAGAACGCUUGUUCUGCUGGUUGCCCUGGAAAGAAAUGGGAAAUGUGGAUGGUGGAAUGCCCAUCAUCUAAACUGUAACCCAGUGAGUAACCUACGAUGAAAGCAAUACAGGUUGCAGAAUGCUCCUCUAGCCCUUGAUUCCUGUGUACCUCGGACCUCCUUCUGUGAACCCUGCCCGCCCUCCUCCCUCCAUCACACCUCGUGGAUUACAAACUCUCCUGGCUUACCAAAUCCACCAACUUCAGUCUCGCCGGCAAACAACCACUUGGUUUCUCCACUCCCCCUCUGGCGGAUCCCUCCACCAUUCUUUUUUGCCUCCUGGUUCCUGUUCCCUGCAUUAUUCACCCAGUUGUAAAUAAACACUUUACCGAACAA
Molecule: long non-coding RNA, 604 nt
Organism: Girardinichthys multiradiatus
Lineage: Eukaryota; Metazoa; Chordata; Actinopteri; Cyprinodontiformes; Goodeidae
Exons: 5
Source: RefSeq, a predicted model, not a curated record